UCAUUCUCUCAGAGACUGGUCUCUCUCUAAACAAUUGCUCUCCCUUCUCUCUAGAACCUUCUAGUUCUCUCCUUCUUCUCCGAUGAACUUCAUCGCCUCUCUGUCCAUACUCCAUCCUCACUUCUCUCAACCUUUAGUCACCAUGGAAUCCUAUGUCGUUGCUUCUUUCCAAGGUCUGAAGCCCCCGAAGCUUCCGCCAUGAAAGAUGGUCACUGAAGCCUCGCAUGGGCCUGUUCACGGCCUUUCUCCGGUGGAUUUUUGUCCGAUGAUGCUUUAAAUGUCGUUAUUAACGAGUUUCACAGCCAGGUUUCUCAUCUCCCUGAUUUUAUUUGCAAACCC
RNAcentral lists this long non-coding RNA (339 nucleotides) under Nicotiana benthamiana. Its description in RNAcentral is "long non-coding RNA (NBEN_LNC004629)". The record is from RNAcentral. Lineage: Eukaryota; Viridiplantae; Streptophyta; Magnoliopsida; Solanales; Solanaceae.